CCUACGGGUGACAGCAGUGAGGAAUAUUGGUCAAUGGGCGGAAGCCUGAACCAGCCAAGUCGCGUGAGGGAUUAAGGCCCUGCGGGUCGUAAACCUCUUUUGCCGGGGAGCAGUGGUCCGGACGAGUCCGGGCCGGGAGAGUACCCGGAGAAAAAGCAUCGGCUAACUCCGUGCCAGCAGCCGCGGUAAUACGGAGGAUGCGAGCGUUAUCCGGAUUUAUUGGGUUUAAAGGGUGCGUAGGCGGGCAUUUAAGCCGGCGGUCAAAUGUCGGGGCUCAACCCCGGCCUGCCGUCGGAACUGGGUGCCUUGAGUGGGCGAGAAGUAUGCGGAAUGCGUGGUGUAGCGGUGAAAUGCAUAGAUAUCACGCAGAACCCCGAUUGCGAAGGCAGCAUACCGGCGCCCGACUGACGCUGAGGCACGAAAGUGCGGGUAUCGAACAGGAUUAGAUACCCCGGUAGUC
Molecule: ribosomal RNA, 460 nt
Filed under: uncultured bacterium
Lineage: Bacteria
Description: partial 16S ribosomal RNA
Rfam family: Bacterial small subunit ribosomal RNA
Source: RNAcentral